GACGCCAAUUCGGUUGAAUUAUGAAGGACGCAUCCAAAUAUAAUCUUGGCUCUGGUUCCACGGCCACGGUGGUUCUAACAGUAGAUGGCCAAUUUUUAGUUGCCAAUGUUGGGGACUCUAAGGCUUUUUUGUGCUCUGAAAAAUUUCAAUCCCCUGAAGAUGCUAGAGCUACUUUCUUGAGGUUAUACAAGCGGAAAAGGCGUGAUGGGACUCCUUUAUCUUUAAAGGAAAGUGCAGACUUGAAGUUGAAUACUUUGUAUGGUAUGACCCAUCUUUCUGUUCAAGAAUUAACUCGUGACCAUCAUCCGGAUAGGGAUGAUGAAAGGUCUCGAGUAGAAGCUGCUGGUGGUCAUGUUCUCGUAGGGGGUGGUGUCGCUCGUGUAAAUGGCCAACUUGCUGUUUCACGAGCUAUUGGUGACGUAAACUUUAAAAGUUCUGGUGUAAUAUCUGUGCCGGAGGUUAUGGAUUGGCAUGCUUUGACCUCCAACGACAGCUUUCUAGUAGCUGCAUCUGACGGUGUGUUUGAAAAGCUGAGUCCACAGGACGUUUGUGAUAUAUUGUGGGAAGCAAAAAGUGAUGACACCACAGGAUCGGAGAUAUCUUCUUCAUGUUCAUACUUGUUAGCUGAUUGUAUAGUGAAUACUGCCUUUGAGAAGGGCAGUAUGGAUAAUAUGGCUACCAUUGUUGUCCCUCUGCAGUCUACUGAUUUAUCUCAAAACCUGCAAAGUAGAAGUCUCGUUGAAUGGCAACAUAUGCAUGCAACUCUGGGAGAGGAGAAGCAUGCAUAUAAGCAAUCAGAAAUGGACAUGACAUCUGAGAUCAUUCACUUGGAGAAUGCUUAUCCAGUUAUGGCCAAAUUUGAAAGGCUAAUGGUUGAGGUAAAACAUGGAAGUUUCUGUUGUUUUUAUUUAGCUGAGCCUCUCAAUGAAAUUACUUACUCUACAUCUCAAGUUAGGAAUGAUGACUGGAAGGACAGUGCAUGUGACCUUCCUCAAGCUCUACCUGAUGCCCUUAGCAAACACAGUGGUGAAACGCUGAAUUCACAUGGUGACCAGUGUUCAUGGUCGCAUUUUGGAAUGACUGUUAGUUCAGUGCAAGGUCAAUGUACAAAUCCCGAAAGCUUUGCUAGUUUCCUCGGUUUGCUUGAAUCGAUUUCGUUCCAUAAUACGGAUGCAUCAAACGAGCACACAGUGCCCAACUCAAGAUAUGUCCUUGAGAAGAGGUUUGGGCGAGGAUCAUUCGGUGAAGUAUGGUUGGCUUUUCACUGGAAUUGUUGUGAAGAAAGCAGUUCCUUUGACUGGAGUCAGCAAUUAAAGAAUGUUUCCUCUGAUGCUAUGCUGUCUGGGUCAUCUAGCAGACAAUUUUUUAAUAGCUCAUCAACUCACAACUACAGCAAUGCCGCAGAUAACUUGUUCAUUUUAAAGCGCAUAAGGGUAGAGAAAGGCCUUGCCGUGUACUUAAGUGGACUACGGGAGAAGUAUUUUGGCGAAGUAUUUCUCAAUGCUUCUAAGUCCCUUGAAGACAUUUCAAGGGGAGCAGAGGACAUUAUUUCCAAAGAAUCAAAGUCAAGAUUUUCGGAAAAGUCAGAAAUUAUUAAGUCAGCUGCUCAUGAGACACAGAAAUCAAGGACCUUGGUUAGUAGUUUGCCAAACAGAUUUAGUCAGAGAAGGGACUUUUAUGAAGAAGGAUUGGACCAUAUUGCUAGAUAUGUAGAGUCAUUUGAGUCACGCUCCAACGAUAUAUGGCUUGUGUUCCGUCACGAAGGUGUUUCCUUGUCAAAGCUUCUAUACACUGUCGAAGAAGUAGAGGAGAGAGGUGAUGAUGGGAUUGAAGCCAGAAAACAUGCCCAGGUAUUGCGUCCAUCAAAAUGGUGGCACUGGUUGAAAACUACAGAAGCGGGACAGAAGGAAAUGUGCAACCUUAUAUGGCAAUCGUUGUUGGCGCUCAAAGCCUGUCAUGACCGUAAUAUCACUCAUAGGGAUAUUAAACCUGAGAACAUGGUGAUAUGCUUUGAGGAUCUGGAAACUGGGAGAUGUCUGAGAGGACCUCCAAAUGGAGACGAGAAUUAUAACACCAAAAUGCGCAUUAUUGACUUUGGGAGUGCAAUAAAUCAGUUCACUCUGAAGCAUCUGUAUGGAUCAGCUGGCCCUUCAAGAGCUGAACAAACUACAGAAUAUACGCCUCCUGAAGCCUUGCUAAAUGAAACAUGGUAUCACGGACCAACUGCUGCGAAGUAUGAUAUGUGGAGUGUUGGUGUGGUCAUGUUAGAGUUGAUACUAGGGUCACCAGAUGUUUUCCAAAUCAAUGCUUUAACCCGUACUCUUUUGGAUCAACAUCUUGAGGGAUGGAGUGAAGGUUUAAAGCAGUUGGCAUAUAGACUUAGAUCGUUUAUGGAGAUGUGCAUCUUAAUCCCAGGUAGUUCCUUGAAACAUCGAUUUGGUGGUGCAAUGGACAAGAGUGGAGUUUCACCGGCUUCCUGGAAAUGUUCAGAAGAGUUUUUCUCACAUCAAGUGAAGAGCAGAGAUCCUCUUAAGAUUGGCUUUUCAGAUGUUUGGGCUCUGCGAUUGGUUCGUCAUCUCUUAAUGUGGGAUCCCGAUGACCGACUCAGUGUCGAUGAAGCUCUGCAACAUCCUUACUUUGAGACUUUGCGCAGGACAUGAAUCAUGGGAAGCCUUGAACAUCUGAAAUAUAAACUUAUGGACUCCUGUUAUCAGAGGGGUAUGGACUGCCCUCAUGGUCUACUGAUUUUUUUAUGCAUAAAUCUGAAAAUAUUCAUAAUGGUAAUCUGCUUCACCAUUCCAUUUUCUUGACUGCUUCUACCAGUAGUAUGUGAUUUUUUAUUGUCAAGACGUACGGGAACACAAGCAGGGAAAUAGCUUUGCAGCUGCAAAAGGAGAUUAAUAUGUUCAUUCCCUUGCGGACGUCACGGUAAGGCAAGGCAAACAGUUUCCAGCAACUUCAGGACAAUUCUGUCGACAUCCUCACUGCUUAUUUAAAACACCCAUGAUGUUCCUGAUACGUUCUCGUCAUUAUAGUUUUCUAUAGAUUGUUACAUGAGCGUGCGCCUUUGUAUAACUCAGUCUUUCAUUUCUUUCCUUUUUUGCUUUUAUUUUUUGGUGG
This is an RNA transcript of Rhodamnia argentea, 3120 nucleotides long. It is a transcript of the gene named probable inactive protein kinase At3g63330, with no coding region annotated. NCBI's taxonomy places the organism in Eukaryota, Viridiplantae, Streptophyta, Magnoliopsida, Myrtales, Myrtaceae. The transcript is spliced from 18 exons. The record is from RefSeq and is a predicted model, not a curated record.